RNAcentral lists this ribosomal RNA (468 nucleotides) under uncultured bacterium. Its description in RNAcentral is "partial 16S ribosomal RNA". It matches the Rfam family "Bacterial small subunit ribosomal RNA", at positions 28 to 507 of the family's 1533-position model. The record is from RNAcentral.
GACGAACGCUGGCGGCGUGCUUAACACAUGCAAGUCGAACGGAAAGACCCGGCGUUUGUGGGGUGCUCGAUUGGCGAACGGGUGAGUAACACGUGAGUAACCUGCCCUUGACUGUGUGAUAACUUCAGGAAACUGGGGCUAAUAUCGGAUAUGAGCUCCUGCUCCAUGGUGGUGGUUGGAAAGUUUCGGCGGUUGGGGCUGGACUCGCGGGUUAUCAGCUUGUUGGUGGGGUAGUUGCUUACCAAGGCUUUGACGGGUAGCCGGCCUGAGAGGGUGACCGGCCACCAUGGGACUGCGAGACGGACCAGACUGCUACGGGCGGCAGCAGUGGGGAGCAUUGCACAAUGGGCGGAAGCCUGAUGUAGCAACGCCGCGUGCGGAAUGACCGGCUUCGGGUUGUAAACCACUUUCGAAUGUGACGAAGCGUGAUUGACGGUAAUGGGUCAAGAAGCAACGGCUAACUACGUG